RNAcentral lists this ribosomal RNA (253 nucleotides) under uncultured Lachnospiraceae bacterium. Its description in RNAcentral is "partial 16S ribosomal RNA". It matches the Rfam family "Bacterial small subunit ribosomal RNA", at positions 524 to 776 of the family's 1533-position model. Lineage: Bacteria; Bacillati; Bacillota; Clostridia; Lachnospirales; Lachnospiraceae. The record is from RNAcentral.
UAAGGAGGAUGCGAGCGUUAUCCGGAUUUACUGGGUGUAAAGGGAGCGUAGACGGCGGCGCAAGUCUGAAGUGAAAGCCCGUGGCUCAACCGCGGAACCGCUUUGGAAACUGCGAGGCUGGAGUGCUGGAGAGGUAAGCGGAAUUCCUGGUGUAGCGGUGAAAUGCGUAGAUAUCAGGAGGAACACCGGUGGCGAAGGCGGCUUACUGGACAGUGACUGACGUUGAGGCUCGAAAGCGUGGGGAGCGAACAGG